AUUGAACGCUGGCGGCAUGCCUUACACAUGCAAGUCGAACGGUAACGCGGGGCAACCUGGCGACGAGUGGCGAACGGGUGAGUAACGCAUCGGAACGUGCCCAGUAGUGGGGGAUAGCCCGGCGAAAGCCGGAUUAAUACCGCAUACGACCUACGGGUGAAAGGGGGGGAUCGCAAGACCUCUCGCUAUUGGAGCGGCCGAUGUCAGAUUAGGUAGUUGGUGGGGUAAAGGCCCACCAAGCCUUCGAUCUGUAGCUGGUCUGAGAGGACGACCAGCCACACUGGGACUGAGACACGGCCCAGACUGCUACGGGAGGCAGCAGUGGGGAAUUUUGGACAAUGGGCGCAAGCCUGAUCCAGCCAUGCCGCGUGCGGGAAGAAGGCCUUCGGGUUGUAAACCGCUUUUGUCAGGGAAGAAACGCUCUGGGCUAAUACCUCGGGGUAAUGACGGUACCUGAAGAAUAAGCACCGGCUAACUACGUGCCAGCCGCCGCGGUAA
This 498-nucleotide ribosomal RNA is filed under the name uncultured bacterium. RNAcentral's name for it is "partial 16S ribosomal RNA". It matches the Rfam family "Bacterial small subunit ribosomal RNA", at positions 29 to 523 of the family's 1533-position model. The record is from RNAcentral.